This 310-nucleotide RNase P RNA is filed under the name Bacteroidales bacterium. RNAcentral describes it as "RNase P RNA component class A". It matches the Rfam family "Bacterial RNase P class A". Rfam says of the family: Ribonuclease P (RNase P) is a ubiquitous endoribonuclease, found in archaea, bacteria and eukarya as well as chloroplasts and mitochondria. Its best characterised activity is the generation of mature 5'-ends of tRNAs by cleaving the 5'-leader elements of precursor-tRNAs. The record is from RNAcentral. Lineage: Bacteria; Pseudomonadati; Bacteroidota; Bacteroidia; Bacteroidales.
AAGGUGGGGCGAUCUGCCGCCCGUAAGGGAGGAAAGUCCGGACAGGACAGGGCAUCCCGCUGCGGAAAGCGCAGGUAGGGGUAACCUUACGCCCGUCGUAACAGAAAAUGACCGCCGAAAGGUAAGGGUGAAAACGCGGGGCAAGAGCCCACGACGCACGGCAGCGAUGUCGUGCGGGUACGACACCGGGACCUGCAAGACCAAAUAUACUGGCAGACGAGGACGGCCCGUCCGAUGCCAGGGGGUAGGUUGCGAAGAUAAAUGGCAGAAAAAACGUGAACAGAAACCGGCUUACGGCUCCACCUUUUCU